GACGAACGCUGGCGGCGUGCUUAACACAUGCAAGUCGAACGGAAAGGCCCUGCUUUUGUGGGGUGCUCGAGUGGCGAACGGGUGAGUAACACGUGAGUAACCUGCCCUUGACUUUGGGAUAACUUCAGGAAACUGGGGCUAAUACCGGAUAGGAGCUCCUGCUGCAUGGUGGGGGUUGGAAAGUUUCGGCGGUUGGGGAUGGACUCGCGGCUUAUCAGCUUGUUGGUGGGGUAGUGGCUUACCAAGGCUUUGACGGGUAGCCGGCCUGAGAGGGUGACCGGCCACAUUGGGACGGAGAUACGGCCCAGACUCCUACGGGAGGCAGCAGUGGGGAAUAUUGCACAAUGGGCGGAAGCCUGAUGCAGAAACGCCGCGUGCGGGAUGACGGCCUUCGGGUUGUAAACCGCUUUCGCCUGUGACGAAGCGUGAGUGACGGUAAUGGGUAAGAAGCACCGGCUAACUACGUG
This 467-nucleotide ribosomal RNA is filed under the name uncultured bacterium. RNAcentral's name for it is "partial 16S ribosomal RNA". It matches the Rfam family "Bacterial small subunit ribosomal RNA", at positions 28 to 507 of the family's 1533-position model. The record is from RNAcentral.